CCUGUCGUUUUCCCGACAGUAGCCUAAGAGGGCAGGCGUGGCUGGUAACGGCUGGGUCUGAAGCCUCUCUGACAAUGUAGCCCACUCUGAAAGGAUGAUGCUAAAACUGUGAGGUGGAAGCGGAACUGCGAGCAUUACGCGGUAGGGAGC
This is a non-coding RNA of Gallionella sp., 150 nucleotides long. NCBI's taxonomy places the organism in Bacteria, Pseudomonadati, Pseudomonadota, Betaproteobacteria, Nitrosomonadales, Gallionellaceae. The record is from Rfam.